UCUUGACUUUCUCUCUCAUUUUCUUAUUAUUAUUAUUUUUUUCCUCUCUCUUUCUCUCUCUGAGCUAACGAUAAAAACCAGAACUCGUUGUUUCUUGUUUUGUUGUUUUCUCUGAUCACCAAGGCUUUUCUUUUUAUUCACAUUCACACCUCUCAUACACAAUUAACAGAAUUAAUUUGCGAUGGAUUAUGCAUUUACUGAGUGAAGAAUAGAGAUUGACGAGUGAUAAGAAAAUGGCCUUUGAGCCGUUGGUUUGGUAUUGCCGGCCAGUG
This 272-nucleotide unclassified non-coding RNA is filed under the name Hevea brasiliensis (rubber tree). Lineage: Eukaryota; Viridiplantae; Streptophyta; Magnoliopsida; Malpighiales; Euphorbiaceae. The record is from RNAcentral.